This 240-nucleotide unclassified non-coding RNA is filed under the name soil metagenome. RNAcentral's name for it is "partial contains 5.8S ribosomal RNA, internal transcribed spacer 2, and large subunit ribosomal RNA". The record is from RNAcentral.
AACGCACGAGACCUGCGGACCUGCGGAGGGAUCAUUACAGGGUUAUGCCGGGGAUAUGUUUUUCUGCUCUUUUUGAGUUGAAAUCUAUCCCGGCAGCCAUGAUCAUCUCUUUGUGCAUAUAUUGAUAACCGAGGGCUUUUUGUGGCAGACCUCAAAAAUCUGUCAUAAAUCCCUCUAAUAAACUUUUUUUUUACUUUGACUGAAAUUUUGUUAUUUGAUAAUAAAUACAACUUUCAGCAA